UUUGGAUAGCUCAAUCGGGUAGAGCAAUCGGUUGACGCCGAUGUGUCGUGGGUUCAACUCCCACUCCAAAACCA
This 74-nucleotide transfer RNA is filed under the name Zoogloeaceae bacterium. RNAcentral's name for it is "tRNA-OTHER". It matches the Rfam family "tRNA". Rfam says of the family: Transfer RNA (tRNA) molecules are approximately 80 nucleotides in length. Their secondary structure includes four short double-helical elements and three loops (D, anti-codon, and T loops). Further hydrogen bonds mediate the characteristic L-shaped molecular structure. tRNAs have two regions of fundamental functional importance: the anti-codon, which is responsible for specific mRNA codon recognition, and the 3' end, to which the tRNAs corresponding amino acid is attached (by aminoacyl-tRNA synthetases). tRNAs cope with the degeneracy of the genetic code in two manners: having more than one tRNA (with a specific anti-codon) for a particular amino acid; and 'wobble' base-pairing, i.e. permitting non-standard base-pairing at the 3rd anti-codon position. The record is from RNAcentral. Lineage: Bacteria; Pseudomonadati; Pseudomonadota; Betaproteobacteria; Rhodocyclales; Zoogloeaceae.